Molecule: microRNA precursor, 200 nt
Filed under: Dichanthelium oligosanthes
Lineage: Eukaryota; Viridiplantae; Streptophyta; Magnoliopsida; Poales; Poaceae
Description: MIR1435 microRNA precursor family
Rfam family: MIR1435 microRNA precursor family
Source: Rfam by way of RNAcentral
UAGUUUUGUCCUAAGUCAAACUAUUUUAAGUUUGACCAAAUUUAUAGCUAAUAGUAUUAACAUCUAUAACACCAAAUAUGUGAAUUAUGAAAAUAUGUUUCAUGAUGAAUCUAAUGAUACGUAUUUGGUGUCAUAAAUGUUGGCACUUUUCUCUAUAAAUUUGGUCAAACUUCACAUAGUUUGACUUAGGACGAAACUAG